AACACGGUGUCUCAGUGGUUAGCACUGUUGCCUCACAGCAAGAAGGUCCUGGGUUCAAAUCCCAGCUGUUCCA
RNAcentral lists this transfer RNA (73 nucleotides) under Megalops atlanticus (tarpon). RNAcentral describes it as "tRNA-OTHER". The record is from RNAcentral. Lineage: Eukaryota; Metazoa; Chordata; Actinopteri; Elopiformes; Megalopidae.